RNAcentral lists this ribosomal RNA (1272 nucleotides) under Arcyria ferruginea. RNAcentral describes it as "SSU rRNA". The record is from RNAcentral. Lineage: Eukaryota; Evosea; Eumycetozoa; Trichiida; Trichiidae.
AUAUGCUUGUCCCAAAGCUUAAGCCAUGCAAGUGUGAGAUCAAUAGUAAAAAAUGCUAAAAUCUGCGAGAGGCUCCGUAUAUCUGUUAUAACCCACCACUAUCGAUAGCCGAGACGGAAUACCCCCGGUAAUUCUGAGGCUAAUACGAUUGAUGAAAUGAUAGGGGGUCUCCCCGCUCGGUGCCUUAUAAAAAACAAGGCAAAGGGGGGGGGUCGGCUGACCUUCGGUCUUGCGGCCUGAUCAACGCCCCACAUCCGGAGUCACCGGAGGGGACCGCGUGAAGGCCCGCAAGAGCACCUAGACCGGAAUUGCCCGGUUUAGGUGAAGGGCGUCAGACCUAUCAACUAGAGGGUUUGAGCGGGGCUCGCCCUGGUUAUAACGGGUACAGAGGAUCAGGGUUCGGUCCUGGAGAGGUAGCCUUAGAAAUCGCUACUACUUCUAAGGAAGGCAGCAGGCGCGCAACGUUCCCAAUGGGCWYGCCCCUGAGGACGUGACGGGACAUAGCAAUACUGGACCCUAAUGGGUUCGGUAAUUGAAAUGGGGGGCCUUUAAAGCCCACCCCGAGUAACAAUUGGAGGACAAGUCUGGUGCCAGCACCCGCGGUAAUUCCAGCUCCGAUAGCGUCUCAUUAAGUUGCUGCAGUUAAAACGCUCGUAGUCCGAGUCGGUGCGGGGUUCGGGGGCUUAGUAGCUCUGCCGGGCCGGUGCGGGAAGAUAGGGGGUGGUGUGGCCCAGACGGGCCUCCCGCUCACCUCUCCCCUGCCGGCCCCGGAGCGAAGGCCCUCUUGAGCCCCCGCCAACUCGCCCUGAGGCCGGGUGGGGGGACCUUAAGUGGUCCACUCCGCCCCCCGGGGCACUCUACUUUGAAUAAACUCAAGCGCUCAAAGCCGCCCAUUUUUAGGGGCACCAAACGCUCACUCAGAUAUCAGCAAAGCAUAAUGGAAUAGGAUCCCUCUCCUAUCCCGUUGGUGUAUGAGGGGAUAAUGAUCGAUAAGGGGGAUCGGGGCCGGCCACAUGGCGGGGGUAGGGGUGAAAUCUAUUGAUCCCCGCCAGGUGAACUAAAGCGAAAGCAGCCGGCCAGUACCUUCCGUUUGAUCAAGAACGAAAGUCUGGGGAUCGAAGACGAUCAGAUACCGUCGUAGUCCAGACCCUAAAUUUUGCCGGCCAUGGAUGGGCGCUAGUCCAUCCCGACCCAGCCCGGACCUUAUGGGAAACCAUAAGCGUUUGGGCUCCGGGGGGAGUAUGGUUGCAAAGCUGAAACUUAAAGGAAUUG